CUACGGGGCGCUGCAGGUAGGAAUAAUCUACAAUGCGCGCAAGCGUGAUAGUUUGAAUCAAAGUGCGUUCCAAUUUGGAAUGCUUUUGCUAAGUCUAAAAAGCUUGGCGAAUAAGGACUGGGUAAGACGAGUGCCAGCCGCCGCGGUAAUACUCGCGGUCCAAGUCGCAGCCAUUUUUAUUGGGUCUAAAACAUCCGUAGCUUGCUUGUUAAGUUUCUUGUGAAAUUUUAUAUCUCAAAUAUGAAGCGUGCAAGAAAUACUGUCGAGCUAGAGACUGGAAGACGUAAGAAGUACGUUCGGAGUAGCGGUAAAAUGCUUUAAUCCUGGACGGACUCACAAUUGCGAAGGCAUCUUACGAGGACAGUUCUGACAGUAAGGGAUGAAGGCUAGGGGCGCAAAACGGAUUAGAUACCCUUGUAGUC
Molecule: ribosomal RNA, 422 nt
Filed under: uncultured archaeon
Lineage: Archaea
Description: partial 16S ribosomal RNA
Rfam family: Archaeal small subunit ribosomal RNA
Source: RNAcentral